This 450-nucleotide ribosomal RNA is filed under the name uncultured bacterium. RNAcentral's name for it is "bacterial SSU rRNA". It matches the Rfam family "Bacterial small subunit ribosomal RNA", at positions 354 to 796 of the family's 1533-position model. The record is from RNAcentral.
GUGGGGAAUAUUGGACAAUGGGCGAAAGCCUGAUUCAGCCAUGCCGCGUGUGUGAAGAAGGUCUUCGGAUUGUAAAGCACUUUAAGUUGGGAGGAAGGGCAGUAAGUUAAUACCUUGCUGUUUUGACGUUACCGACAGAAUAAGCACCGGCUAACUUCGUGCCAGCAGCCGCGGUAAUACGAAGGGUGCAAGCGUUAAUCGGAAUUACUGGGCGUAAAGCGCGCGUAGGUGGUUUUGUGAGUUGGAGGUUAAAUCCCCGGGCUCAACCUGGGAACUGCCUCCAAAACUACUGGGCUAGAGUACGGUAGAGGGUAGUGGAAUUUCCUGUGUAGCGGUGAAAUGCGUAGAUAUAGGAAGGAACACCAGUGGCGAAGGCGACUACCUGGACUGAUACUGACACUGAGGUGCGAAAGCGUGGGGAGCAAACAGGAUUAGAAACCCCAGUAGUCC